GAUCCUGGCUACACCCCUUCCGGUCACUCAGGAGCAUUGCUUGCACCUGAGCUCCCCUGGGUUGGCCCUCCCUUCCCACCAGGUGCUCAACCACUGGUUCAAACCAUGACUUAGCAUUUCCACUACACCUCCCUCAGGAGCUUCAUCCUUUACUGUUUGUAGGUUUACCUGCUAAUGCUCAUCGUGGUUAUAAGCUCUGACUCAAGAGCUCUUAUUAUUCGCCACCAAAAAAUCACUGCAUCAGGAUUCAAAACAAGCUUUGGUGAUUGAUGCCUCACUGAUACAAAUGAUGACACCGAGAGUUCAUAAAGCUACAGUGAUCAGCGCUGAAGCACACAUCCUCUACCUCCCUGCAUGUCUUGCAUUAUAGCCACUUAGAGUUAUUCAGAGGUGUUCGGAUGGUAUGUCUCUGUGGUAAAGCCAGCUGUGAGCGAGCUUUCAGCCAACGCAGAAAACAAAAAGGGCAACAAAGAAAUGCAAAAGCACCAACAUGCAGAGCGACCUGAAGAGAGCGUUACGUGUCUGUGUGCGAGAGAAUAAGUGCACAAUAACGAGUGUGAACUCCCAACAUUCUGGCAAGAGAAAGCUGAAUGAUGAGCCAUGGUGCGUGUUGGAAAAAUAGUGAGAAAAGGCUUGGGACACUGCAAGGGCAAAGAGAAUCCAGGAGAGGUCUGAGGCACGGAUUGUGGCAGGACCAUGUUUGAAAAUCACUGAGUCCACACAUUACCGGUUACACUUGCUGUGCGGAUUCAGCAGGAGAUAAUAUUAUUCGCAAGCAAUGUUCAGGCUGUUCAGUAGCGGAUCGUGCAGCAGCUGCUGCUUUACAGCCCCGAAAUGGCUGUAUUUCAGCAGUAGAUACAGUGGUGCCAGUAGAUUCUAAGUGUUUGGGCAUUUCGCUAGUUAGAAAGGUGUUACAAGGUUGUAUCAUUUACUGUCU
Molecule: long non-coding RNA, 937 nt
Filed under: Numida meleagris (helmeted guineafowl)
Lineage: Eukaryota; Metazoa; Chordata; Aves; Galliformes; Numididae
Description: lncRNA (ENSNMEG00000023089.1)
Source: RNAcentral